AUUGAACGCUGGCGGCAGGCCUAACACAUGCAAGUCGAACGAGUGGCGGACGGGUGAGUAAUGUCUGGGAAACUGCCAGAUGGAGGGGGAUAACGACUGGAAACGGUAGCUAAUACCGCAUACCAUCGGAUGUGCCCAGAUGGGAUUAGCUAGUAGGUGGGGUAAAGGCUCACCUAGGCGACGAUCCCUAGCUGGUCUGAGCGGAUGACCAGCCACACGGCAACUGAUACACGGUCCAGACUCCUACGGGAGGAAGCAGUGGGGAAUAGUGCACAAUGGGCGCAAUCAUGAUGCAGCCAUGCCGCGGGAAUGAAGAGGGCCUUCGGGUUGUAAAGUACUUUCAGCGAGGAGGCGUUACUCGCAGAAGAAGCACCGGCUAACUCCGUGCCAGCAGCCGCGGUAAUUC
This 406-nucleotide ribosomal RNA is filed under the name uncultured bacterium. RNAcentral's name for it is "partial 16S ribosomal RNA". It matches the Rfam family "Bacterial small subunit ribosomal RNA", at positions 30 to 526 of the family's 1533-position model. The record is from RNAcentral.